CCCACCCCUAGAAGCAUGGCAGAUAUAGCUGCUGUGUCUCAUACACAUCAGUAGGUGGCAGAGAGGAGAGAGACUUUGUCUAUGAUUAGGGUUCUGACUUGUGAACAUCUUAAUGAUUCAUAGCCUAACAUU
Molecule: small nucleolar RNA, 132 nt
Organism: Mus caroli (Ryukyu mouse)
Lineage: Eukaryota; Metazoa; Chordata; Mammalia; Rodentia; Muridae
Product: small nucleolar RNA SNORA17
Source: RefSeq, a predicted model, not a curated record